GAUGAACGCUGGCGGCGUGCCUAAUACAUGCAAGUCGAGCGAACGGACGAGAAGCUUGCUUCUCUGAUGUUAGCGGCGGACGGGUGAGUAACACGUGGAUAACCUACCUAUAAGACUGGGAUAACUUCGGGAAACCGGAGCUAAUCCCGGAUAAUAUUUUGAACCGCAUGGUUCAAAAGUGAAAGACGGUCUUGCUGUCACUUAUAGAUGGAUCCGCGCUGCAUUAGCUAGUUGGGAAGGUAACGGCUUACCAAGGCAACGCUGCAUAGCCGACCUGAGAGGGUGAUCGGCCACACUGGAACGGAGACACGGUCCAGACUCCUACGGGAGGCAGCAGUAGGGAAUCUUCCGCAGUGGGCGAAAGCCUGACGGAGCAACGCCGCGUGAGUGAUGAAGGUCUUCGGAUCGUAAAACUCUGUUAUUAGGGAAGAACAUAUGUGGAAGUAACUGUGCACAUCGUGACGGUACCUAAUCAGAAAGCCACGGCUAACUACGUG
This 497-nucleotide ribosomal RNA is filed under the name uncultured bacterium. RNAcentral describes it as "partial 16S ribosomal RNA". It matches the Rfam family "Bacterial small subunit ribosomal RNA", at positions 28 to 507 of the family's 1533-position model. The record is from RNAcentral.